Molecule: ribosomal RNA, 426 nt
Filed under: uncultured bacterium
Lineage: Bacteria
Description: bacterial SSU rRNA
Rfam family: Bacterial small subunit ribosomal RNA
Source: RNAcentral
UGAGGAAUCUUCCACAAUGGGGGAAACCCUGAUGGUGCAACGCCGCGUGGAGGAUGAAGGUCUUCGGAUUGUAAACUCCUGUCAUCUGGGAGUAAGACCUGACGGUGAAUAGCCGGCAGGGUUGAUAGUACCAGAAGAGGAAGGGACGGCUAACUUCGUGCCAGCAGCCGCGGUAAUACGAAGGUCCCAAGCGUUGUUCGGAAUCACUGGGCGUAAAGGGAGCGUAGGCGGCGUGGUAAGUCAGAUGUGAAAUCCCGGGGCUCAACCCCGGAACUGCAUCCGAUACUGCCAUGCUUGAGGGUUGGAGAGGUAGCUGGAAUUCUCGGUGUAGCAGUGAAAUGCGUGGAUAUCGAGGGGAACACUCGUGGCGAAGGCGAGCUACUGGACAACAUCUGACGCUGAGGCUCGAAGGCCAGGGGAGCAAAA